ACCCCGAUCCCAAGCACCAUGGAGCCGACGAUUUGGAUCAAGACCUACAUCCCAAGCACCAAGGUGCCUGGUUGAUAUGGAUCGCGAUCCCGAUCUGGAGCUCCAGGGCGCCGAGGAUUUCGAUCACGAUCCCGAUCUGAAGCACCGAGUAGCCGAGGAUAUGGAUCAAGACCCCGGUCCGAAGCGACAAGGAGGCAAGGAUUUGGAUCACCACUCCGAUCAAAGGCACCAAGGCGUCGAGGGAUUGGAUCGAGAUCCCGAUCCCAAUCAUGAAGUUGGCUAUGUAAUUUCCUGUUUUCCACACCGUUCAGGGCAUUUUGGUGGUCGUAUCGGCUUUUAGUUGCUUGCUUGGUGUUAGUGCCAAGGGAGUGGUUGGAAGCUAGGUCGUCCUCUGGAAUGCUUGUUGUAAAGGUGUAUGAGUUGUGUUUGGCUUGUUACGGGUGUUUGUUGGCUGCUUGUGCAGGAACUUUCAUGCGUCCAAGCCUCUUCAGUUGUGCUACAAGGCCUUGUUUGUCUUGUGCAUACGGUGGGUUUCCUGUGUUGCAUACCUAAUCAAGGGCAUCGUAUGGCAUGAUCGAAGUAAAUAUUCGUAAUGCGCCGCUUGCGGCGUUGCACGAACCUCGAAGUGGUCUCUGUGGCCCAUGUUGUCUUUGCUCACGUAUGGAUGGCAUGGCCCUCGGAGCGUCGCUUGGUCUCUUGGAUACGGAACCUGAUGAUGUGGGCGGUAGGGUCUUGGAUGAUUCUACCUUCGC
This 752-nucleotide unclassified non-coding RNA is filed under the name Tolpis laciniata. RNAcentral describes it as "partial external transcribed spacer". The record is from RNAcentral. Lineage: Eukaryota; Viridiplantae; Streptophyta; Magnoliopsida; Asterales; Asteraceae.